This is a non-coding RNA of Oryza sativa Japonica Group (Japanese rice), 4283 nucleotides long. NCBI's taxonomy places the organism in Eukaryota, Viridiplantae, Streptophyta, Magnoliopsida, Poales, Poaceae. The record is from RefSeq and is a predicted model, not a curated record.
CCCACCGCUCGCACUCCUGUCGCGAUGACUCCGCCUUUGCCCCCGCGCGCUGCGAUGACUCCGCCUCCUCCCGUCCCCACGCGAUGACUACGCCCCCAAGCGCUACUCGCUCCCUCCUCCCAUCCCCGCGCUACACCUCGCUCCGCGCUUCCUCGCUUCUUCCCGUCGUCGCGACCAUGGUCUGCCCCCACCGGCACCGGGGUGGUUCCCCCUUUCCACUGGAGCCCUGCCUGGACUACCCCGACGGCGCCGGGGUGGUAUGCCCUUUCCCUGGACUAGCUGCGGCACACGCCAUUCUGGUCUGCGACUCUCCUCCUCUGAAGUCACUUUGAUCCCCUUCACAAGCCUGAGCAACCCAUGUGAAGGACGACGCCUCCGGCUACAUCGCCUCCAAGCCGUCGACUGCGGCCGGUAUACUGGAGGUGAUGAGGAGACCAGAGGAUAGGUUUGUGGUGAUUUCUUCCCAGGUGAAAAAGAAGAAUCCCCUUUAUAUAUACUCCAUUAGGUUUGGUUUGCUUCCAUUACUGGCGCACCGAGACAUGAUAUUUUGAUUUUCUCAAGCACCUACUUUUGGUUCGACUGGAUGAGGCAAUUAGCCAAACAAUAGCAGUGGUAGGGAUGCAAGCCAUGAUAGCCAUGGAGGCAAGCCUAUACCUCUCUGUCUCUUUUAUAUCAUUAUAUAUUUGUCUGAUAGAGUGUACGUUAGAUUCAUCUACAACUCGCACAUAGGGGGAAUCAUUUGAUCUCCGUGUUGAUAAUUUUGUUUUAUUUGACUCUAUUGUUGAGAUGUAUUAGGCCAUGGUAGGAUUAUUGUAUAUAAAAUAUGUAGUAAUCCAUGGUCAACUCUAGGUCCGCAACUUAUUUUUAUGCGUGACAAACACAGGAAUUUCUCUGGCUUUUCUGAUCCGAAUAUCUUAAGGAUAUCAAGGCAUGAAACUUUAUCUCGAUAAAUUUCUUGGUUGGUGUGUAUGUUAGUAAUCAUCGUACUUUACAUGUGAAAGUACCAACAUUCAGGUUCGUUCAAAAUAAGAAAAUGCUAAUUUCACCAUGAAUCAGAAAAUUAAUGUUUGGUAUUUGUUUGUUAAUGGCUAUGUAGGUUUAGUGGACUAAUGGUAUUUCUAUUAGAAUUAUUCAGAAGAGUAAAUUUCUUGGUGGUAAAUUCAGGCUAAUUGCAAUGUACUGCUUUCUAACCUCUAAUAAUAAUUUUUCCCAGUUCCGCCUCAACUGUUGCAUAUUUACUUACUUAGCUUCUUAUCCUGAAUGGAUGUUUUGGUUUUUAGGGAGCAGCAUUUGAUCCUCCUACAAUUGGAUCUUCAAAAACAAUUGUUAGGAGAGUACAUACCCAGACCUUUCUCAGCUUUGUAAUGGUCUAAAUACUAAAUUUGUUGUUUUUUGGUUCCUCUGUUUCAUAUUGCAGGCUAUUUCAUUGCUGCAGCCCACUACUCUUCUAGCUCUGCCGACAACCACACCUACAAGAGCUACAACUGAAGCAUCACAUAGGGCAGAUGAGGCAUCACAUGUCUGGCUUGGAUUCAAUUUGAUGUUGCACUUUGUAUAACUAUAUGCAGUUUCAGUUUCAUCUUCUGUUUCUACCACCUUGCAAUGUGAGUAAAUCAAUGUUAUAUUAACUUGAACCGAAAUUUUGAUGUUACAGAAAUUAAAUAAAUCUCAUCUACUAUAAAGAUUUUUAGUGGCCAUGUUUAAUGAAAUCAUGAGGUAAGUACAUAUUCAUGUUUUUUUAGAAAACUAGAGCUUCACAUAGACAGAUACCUAAUUUGUUGUCACUGGUAAGCAUGUUGUCGUUAGAGGAUUUUACAGUUUUCUGAAGUUUGUAAUUAAUUCGGUUCCUUUUUAAUGGGUUUCUCAUUGAAAUCGAGAGGGAAAGAACCAAACAAGCAAACAAUUGAAAUUAAAAGUAAGCUUGUUUUCUGCUUCACUUCAUCUUUUAUAUUUCUAUGGUAAAAUCCAGCCAUGUAGAUAAGUAAGAAAACAUAUAUAUGAACAUGUAUUUUCUAUUUCUACAGUUGACCUAAAAAGUAAGCUUCUUUUCUAUUUAUACAGUAAAAUUUGGCAAUGACAGAUCAUGAAGAUAACAUAUGAAUAUGCCAUUUCGUACCAAAAUUUGGAUAUAAUCUGGAACCGGCGAUUCACAUGGCUGUAUAGCAAAUCACUGUUUUAUAACAAAUCCAAUAUGAACUAACUUCCAACAGUGGGAAUACUUACAGAGGAGAAUAGAGAAGUGAUGCCUUGUACUAGAAUUGUCAAACAAUAAUAGCCGGCAACGAUUUAAGUGUAAACUUCUUAAUAGUCAUGGCAUUUCAGCUACAGUAGGGAAUAUUUAGACACAGGCAUUGGCUAUUUAAUUAUCUUUUGGCCUUGAUUUGGCAUAUUGAUGAGAAUUCUUUAUUUUGUUUUAUGGUGGCACUCUUGAAUCAUUAUGUAUAGAUAUUGAGCUUGCAUAUACAGGGACUAGGAGGAUUCUACAUUAUAGGGAACCAUCUUUGCCAGGUGUUCAACAAGUUUAGUGAUAGGACCCUAUAUGGCUUACAUAUAUUCAAAGACAUUAUAGUGAACCAUCUUUGGAUAGGGCUUCGCGUGAAGUUUGUGUCAUAUGGUGUACUGAUGCACAAGAGUGUCUUGCAUUUGCAAUUCUAUACCAUAAUCGUGCUCCACGACAUAGCCGUUCAUUCUGAUUACUUUCAAUGGAUAAUGUACGAAGCCCUACAAUGCAAAAUUGUGCCACGACAGGUACUAUUAUUUUUUGUCUGACAUUUGAUUUGUUUGCUACCUUUAUUUUACUUGCAGAAAAUUUUUAUUGGCCUAUAGAAAUACUCAACUGUAGUGUGUGUAUUAAAAAGUGAUUUUACGAGACUUGUUGCUGGGCAGCUGACUCUCAUUUUUCAUUUCUGACCAUACCCUCUUCAUGCCUUACUUGCUGCUCUUUAUUUUGUUGGGUUAGGACUACUGCUUGACGUUCCUAAUAUGACUGCCACUUAUCUAUAUCUUUUGUUGUCUAAAAAUUGAUAACCUUUUGAAGGCUAAGAAAGAGCUCAAUACAUCUGUGUUUUCAUUCCACUGAAUGAUGCUAUUCUAUAAGACAAGUUAUGGUCUCUAACUGGCUCCCUGAUUUUAACAGUUAAACCCUCUCGAUAGGUAUUCCAAAUCUCUCUGUACAUAUCGAGUAUAUGAUUAUAGCGCUACCAAAUAUUGGCCCAUCCCCAUCAUCACUUGAUCAGGCAGAAGCUAGCUGUCGAGCUCUCCAUAAGGAUUAUGCGAAUUGAAAGCAGAUGCAGAAUGUUUUACAUAGGUAACUAUGUGCUUUGCUAUUAAUAUGGUCUGUCAGUCUGAAGAUUAAAUCAAUUGAGAUGGAUCAACUAAUGGCCUUGUUGCCUGUUUUUAAGUUGUAUAUUACACGGACAUGGAUGGUUUCAGUUCAACACAGAAGUAAUUGAUAAAUGGAGCUUCGAUUUUUCUAUUAUAAACAGUGCAUGUCAUGGCUUCUUUUUUCUGUUGAUGUACUUUUGGCUUUAGUAAAACCUGCACCUAUUGACUGAUGGUAAUUUGAUAUCUGCAAUAACUGCAUCUUGCCGUUCCAGAAAAUUGUGCCAAACUAGGUCUCUGUAGCUUUCUCUUGGCCCAUGUUUGCCUCUUUUUGUUGACGUUACGUCGCAGUUAUUAUAUGAAUUGGUUGAUUGAGUAAAGAUUUUUUUUAGAUAAUGAUUGAGUAAAGAUGUUAUAUACUUUUAAUGGUUUGUUAUUCAGCACAGAUAGUUGUAUAUUUUUAUUGCCUUAAGAGGGAAUACCAAUAGAUAGAAAUUGCAGCAAAGAGUCCUUGCAAAGAUAUGGCUCUUACUAGAUGAUAGGUAUGUUUUAUGGUGGGCUGUUGUUUUCAGAUGUUACAAUUUGCAUACAUGAAUGUCGAAGAGUCACUUUGCUGAUGAAUAAAUGGAGAAGAAAUAGUGAGUUUAGAAUUGAUUCUUUUGUUUUACCGAAUUGUAUUUUGUGAACUGUUUAUGACAAGAUAAUGAAAAUGGUCACGGACAAAGAUGAAAGUAAUGAAUUCUGUACUCCUAUGUCCACAUCCAAGCUCUGAUCUAUAAUUGUUGGCUUCCAAAAAGUAGCAACAUCGCAAUGUAUAAAUUGUGCUUAGCAAUUUUGUACCCUCUAAAUAUUUUUAUCUUUGUUGGUCAGAAAGUAGUGAUUCAACAGAGUGGUUUUAUAGAGAUAACCAUUCAGAUUAUGGAGUGCAUUACAUUAAAAAAGAUUGCAUAGAUUUUUCUUCA